UCAUAUGCUUGUCUCAAAGAUUAAGCCAUGCAUGUGUCAGUACAGGCCGUUCUAAGGCUAAACCGCGAAUGGCUCAUUAAAUCAGUUAUGGUUCAUUUGAUCUCAAUCCCCCAUUACUUGGAUAACCCUGGUAAUUCUAGAGCUAAUACGUGAAACAAAAACUCCGACUGGAAGGGAGGAGUGCUUUUAUUAGAUGAAAACCAAUCGGGCCUCGGUCCGCCAUACGCAAAUUGUGAUGAUUCUGAAUAACUUUGUGCUGAGAGCACGGUCUCCGCACCGGCUCUGUAUCUUUCGAGUUUCUGCCUUAUCAUGCUGUGGAUUGUAGGCUAUGCGCCUACUGUGGCUGUUACGGGUGACGGAGAAUCAGGGUUCGAUUCCGGAGAGGGAGCCUGAGAAACGGCUACCACAUCCAAGGAAGGCAGCAGGCACGCAAAUUACCCAAUCUCAGAUCUGGGAGGUAGUGACGAAAAAUAACAAUGCGGGACUCUUCCGAGUCUGCGUAAUUGGAAUGAGCACACUUUAAAUCCUUUAGCAACAACCAAUUGGAGGGCAAGUCUGGUGCCAGCAGCCGCGGUAAUUCCAGCUCCAAUAGCGUAUAUUAAAGUUGUUGCGGUUAAAAAGCUCGUAGUUCGAGCUCAGUCCGGACUGGCUGGGGAUGUACCGCCCGGUGCUUCCCCGUCAGGCUCCGAACAGCUUUUAUGACUAAAAGCCAAGUCGGUUUCGCCGGGGUGCUCUUCACCGAGUGUCCCGCGCGGCCGGCCAGUUUACCUUGAAUAAAUGAGAGUGCUCAAAGCAGGCUACUCUUAAAAAUAAAGCCCGAAUGUUACCUGCAUGGAAUGAUGGAAGAUGAUCUCGGUUCCAUUUUAUUGGUUCUGGGAAUCCGAGUUAAUGAUAAACAGGGACUGUCGGGGGCAUCCGUACUACGACGCGAGAGGUGAAAUUCUAUGACCGUCGUAGGACGAACAACAGCGAAAGCAUUUGCCAAGAAUGUCUUCGUUGAUCAAGAACGAAAGUUAGAGGAUCGAAGGCGAUCAGAUACCGCCCUAGUUCUAACCCUAAACGAUGCUAACUAGCAAUCCGCCGUCGUUAUUCCCAUGACGUGGCGGGACGCCCCCGGGAAACCUCAAGUCUUUGAGUUCCGGGGGUAGUAUGGUUGCAAAAUUGAAACUUAAAGGAAUUGACGGAAGGGCACCACCAGGAGUGGAGCCUGCGGCUUAAUUUGACUCAACACGGGAAAUCUCACCAGGGCCGGACACCAGAAGGAUUGACAGAUUAAGAGCUCUUUCUUGAUUUGGUGGGUGGUGGUGCAUGGCCGUUCUUAGUUGG
RNAcentral lists this ribosomal RNA (1326 nucleotides) under Glyphus aff. marsupialis JMW-2014. Its description in RNAcentral is "SSU rRNA". It matches the Rfam family "Eukaryotic small subunit ribosomal RNA", at positions 24 to 1301 of the family's 1831-position model. Lineage: Eukaryota; Metazoa; Arthropoda; Malacostraca; Decapoda; Pasiphaeidae. The record is from RNAcentral.